Molecule: long non-coding RNA, 538 nt
Organism: Rhineura floridana
Lineage: Eukaryota; Metazoa; Chordata; Lepidosauria; Squamata; Rhineuridae
Exons: 3
Source: RefSeq, a predicted model, not a curated record
ACACAGGACGUGUCACUUCUUAUUUGAAAGGGCACACACACAGCUUCGCUCAGCAACAGUGGCCUGGAUCAGAAGGAGUUUCCAAAUCACGUUCUAUGCGCCCAGAUGUAGAGACCCCAGAACUUCACUCUAUAACUAGAUUGCUCUGCGGAUCUAAUGUGUGGUCUCAACUGUUUAUGGUGUUUGGCUGCAGUCUACAUCCCACUUAUUUUGGAUCAGUCCUACUGAAGUAAAUACAGCUGCAGGAGUGUAAAUGGAUUGUAACUUUUGCACCUCAAUGCCAUUGUCUUGCUAUAGGAGAGGGAGAAAUGGAACUACAUGGCCUCUCCAUCAGCACUCCUGACAGACCUGCUUCACGGGGCUCCUUCCUCAACUGUCAUCUACAGCAUCAGGCUAUAUAUGAGAAAGAGAUGGAGUUUCAAGACCUUUCCAUCUGCUCUGCUGAAAAACAGCCAUUAAAUUUGUAUCCCAUCCUCCCAAAGGAGCCCAGGAUGGCAAACGCAUCUACACUGAAAAUAAAAUUUAAAAUAAAAACAAA